RNAcentral lists this ribosomal RNA (475 nucleotides) under uncultured bacterium. Its description in RNAcentral is "bacterial SSU rRNA". It matches the Rfam family "Bacterial small subunit ribosomal RNA", at positions 1 to 502 of the family's 1533-position model. The record is from RNAcentral.
UAGAGUUUGAUCCUGGCUCAGAAUGAACGCUGGCGGCGUGCUUAACACAUGCAAGUCGAACGGUAACAGAAGAGCUUGCUCUUGCUGACGAGUGGCGCACGGGUGAGUAAUGCAUAGGUAACGUGCCCCUUAGUCUAGGAUAGCCACUGGAAACGGUGAUUAAUACUGGAUACUCCUUCUACCUUAAUGGUAGUCGGGAAAGUUUUUCGCUAAGGGAUCGGCCUAUGUUGUAUCAGGUAGUUGGUGAGGUAAUGGCUCACCAAGCCUAUGACACAUAGCGGGUCUGAGAGGAUGAUCCGCCACACUGGUACUGAGACACGGACCAGACUCCUACGGGAGGCAGCAGUGGGGAAUAUUGCACAAUGGACGAAAGUCUGAUGCAGCAACGCCGCGUGGAGGAUGACACAUUUCGGUGCGUAAACUCCUUUUAUAUGAGAAGAUAAUGACGGUAUCAUAUGAAUAAGCACCGCUAACU